Molecule: signal recognition particle RNA, 300 nt
Filed under: Microcebus murinus (gray mouse lemur)
Lineage: Eukaryota; Metazoa; Chordata; Mammalia; Primates; Cheirogaleidae
Description: Metazoan signal recognition particle RNA (ENSMICG00000032840.2)
Rfam family: Metazoan signal recognition particle RNA
About the family: The signal recognition particle (SRP) is a universally conserved ribonucleoprotein. It is involved in the co-translational targeting of proteins to membranes.
Source: RNAcentral
GCUGGGUGUGGUGGUGUGCAACUAUGGCCCCAGCUACUUGGGAGGCUGAGACAGGAGGAUCACUUGAGCCCAGACUUCUGGGCUGUAGUGCGCUAUGUCCAUCGGGUGUCCACACAAUAUGGACCAUGAAUCAAUAUGAUGACCUCCCACAAGCAAGGGACCACCAGGUUACCUAAGAAGGGGUUAACCAGCCUCAGUCAGAAAUGGAGCAGGGUAGACUUCCACGCUGAUAAGUGCUGGACCCCAUCUGUGAAUAGCCACUGCACUCCAGCCUGGGCAACAUAGUGAGAACUUGUCUCU